CCUACGGGGGGCUGCAGUAACGAAUCUUCCGCAAUGCACGAAAGUGUGACGGAGCGACGCCGCGUGCGGGACGAAGCCCCUCGGGGUGUAAACCGCUGUCAGGGGAAAGAAAGUUCUGAUCUACCCCAGAGGAAGGCACGGCUAACUCUGUGCCAGCAGCCGCGGUAAGACAGAGGUGCCGAGCGUUAGGCGGAAUCACUGGGCUUAAAGCGUGUGUAGGCGGACCUGUAAGUACCUUGUGAAAUCCCACGGCUCAACCGUGGAACUGCUCGGUA
This 275-nucleotide ribosomal RNA is filed under the name uncultured bacterium. Its description in RNAcentral is "partial 16S ribosomal RNA". It matches the Rfam family "Bacterial small subunit ribosomal RNA", at positions 338 to 630 of the family's 1533-position model. The record is from RNAcentral.